Small nuclear RNA from Ochotona princeps (American pika), 103 nucleotides. Lineage: Eukaryota; Metazoa; Chordata; Mammalia; Lagomorpha; Ochotonidae. The record is from RefSeq and is a predicted model, not a curated record.
CUGUUUUGGCAGCACAUACACUAAAGGUAGAAUGAUGCAGAGAAGAUUAGCAUGGCCCCUGCACAAGGAUGACACACUAAUUCGUGAAGCCUUCACAUUAAAA